Molecule: non-coding RNA, 113 nt
Organism: Acanthosepion pharaonis
Lineage: Eukaryota; Metazoa; Mollusca; Cephalopoda; Sepiida; Sepiidae
Source: the annotation of a GenBank genome assembly
UACGGCCAUAUGACGUUGAAACACCGGCUCCCGUACGAUGAACGAAGUUAAGUAACAUCGAGCCUGGUCAGUACCUAGAUAGGUGAUCUCUUGGGAAUAUCAGGUGCUGUAAG